CCGGCACACAGCUGGAGCUCUGCGCUGAGACCUUGGUCGAUGAACGCGGAGCGUAGUCUGUGUGCAACAGCAAUCUGCAGGGUUUUCGCUGACACCAGUAGGGCUCUUGUGCCCCCUGACUGGCCGUUGGUAGUAGGCCCUGCUACAAUU
Molecule: small nucleolar RNA, 150 nt
Organism: Petromyzon marinus (sea lamprey)
Lineage: Eukaryota; Metazoa; Chordata; Hyperoartia; Petromyzontiformes; Petromyzontidae
Source: Ensembl